Molecule: non-coding RNA, 26 nt
Filed under: Cricetulus griseus (Chinese hamster)
Lineage: Eukaryota; Metazoa; Chordata; Mammalia; Rodentia; Cricetidae
Source: RNAcentral
ACGGAACCAACAGACUCUGAGCCUCU